RNAcentral lists this ribosomal RNA (1005 nucleotides) under Shewanella japonica. RNAcentral describes it as "bacterial SSU rRNA". It matches the Rfam family "Bacterial small subunit ribosomal RNA", at positions 81 to 1082 of the family's 1533-position model. Lineage: Bacteria; Pseudomonadati; Pseudomonadota; Gammaproteobacteria; Alteromonadales; Shewanellaceae. The record is from RNAcentral.
UUCUUGCUGUACGAGCGGCGGACGGGUGAGUAAUGCCUAGGGAUCUGCCCAGUCGAGGGGGAUAACAGUUGGAAACGACUGCUAAUACCGCAUACGCCCUACGGGGGAAAGGAGGGGACCUUCGGGCCUUUCGCGAUUGGAUGAACCUAGGUGGGAUUAGCUAGUUGGUAAGGUAAUGGCUUACCAAGGCGACGAUCCCUAGCUGUUCUGAGAGGAUGAUCAGCNCANCACUGGACUGAGANCACGCCCAGNNCCNNACGGGAGGCAGCAGUGGGGGAAUNGCAAAUGNGGGGNAAACCUGNAUGCAGCCAUGCCGCGUGUGUGAANAAGGCCCUNAGGGUUGUAAAGCACUUUCAGUAGGGAGGAAAGGUAGCAGCUUAAUACGUUGUUGCUGUGACGUUACCUACAGAAGAAGGACCGGCUAACUUCGUGCCAGCAGCCGCGGUAAUACGAGGGGUCCAAGCGUUAAUCGGAAUUACUGGGCGUAAAGCGUACGCAGGCGGUUCAUUAAGCCAGAUGUGAAAUCCCCGGGCUCAACCUGGGAAUUGCAUUUGGAACUGGUGAACUAGAGUCUUGUAGAGGGGGGUAGAAUUUCAGGUGUAGCGGUNAAAUGCGUAGAGAUCUGAAGGAAUACCGGUGGCGAAGGCGGCCCCCUGGACAAAGACUGACGCUNAUGUACGAAAGCGUGGGGAGCAAACAGGAUUAGAUACCCUGGUAGUCCACGCCGUAAACGAUGUCUACUCGGAGUUUGGUGCCUUGAGCACUGGGCUCCCAAGCUAACGCAUUAAGUAGACCGCCUGGGGAGUACGGCCGCAAGGUUAAAACUCAAAUGAAUUGACGGGGGCCCGCACAAGCGGUGGAGCAUGUGGUUUAAUUCGAUGCAACGCGAAGAACCUUACCUACUCUUGACAUCCAGAGAAUUCGCUAGAGAUAGCUUAGUCCCUUCGGGAACUCUGAGACAGGUGCUGCAUGGCUGUCGUCAGCUCGUGUUGUGAAAUGUNGUUA